This 404-nucleotide ribosomal RNA is filed under the name Actinomycetes bacterium. Its description in RNAcentral is "Actinobacteria bacterium partial 16S ribosomal RNA". It matches the Rfam family "Bacterial small subunit ribosomal RNA", at positions 355 to 776 of the family's 1533-position model. Lineage: Bacteria; Bacillati; Actinomycetota; Actinomycetes. The record is from RNAcentral.
UGGGGAAUAUUGGACAAUGGGCGCAAGCCUGAUCCAGCCAUGCCGCGUGAGUGAUGAAGGCCCUAGGGUUGUAAAGCUCUUUCACCGGUGAAGAUAAUGACGGUAACCGGAGAAGAAGCCCCGGCUAACUUCGUGCCAGCAGCCGCGGUAAUACGAAGGGGGCUAGCGUUGUUCGGAUUUACUGGGCGUAAAGCGCACGUAGGCGGACUUUUAAGUCAGGGGUGAAAUCCCGGGGCUCAACCCCGGAACUGCCUUUGAUACUGGAAGUCUUGAGUAUGGUAGAGGUGAGUGGAAUUCCGAGUGUAGGGGUGAAAUUCGUAGAUAUUCGGAGGAACACCAGUGGCGAAGGCGGCUCACUGGACCAUUACUGACGCUGGGGUGCGAAAGCGGGGGGAGCAAACAGG